GGGAGCUUGCUCCCAUUUCUCAGCGGCGGACGGGUGAGUAACACGUGGGCAACCUGCCCUACAGACUGGGAUAACUCCGGGAAACCGGAGCUAAUACCGGGUAAUACGUAGCAUCGCAUGAUGCAACGUUGAAAGUUGGCCUCUGGCUAACACUGUAGGAUGGGCCCGCGGCGCAUUAGCUAGUUGGUAAGGUAACGGCUUACCAAGGCCACGAUGCGUAGCCGACCUGAGAGGGUGAUCGGCCACACUGGGACUGAGACACGGCCCAGACUCCUACGGGAGGCAGCAGUAGGGAAUCUUCCGCAAUGGACGAAAGUCUGACGGAGCAACGCCGCGUGAGUGACGAAGGCCUUCGGGUCGUAAAGCUCUGUUGUUAGGGAAGAACAAGUACCGUUCGAAUAGGGCGGUACCUUGACGGUACCUAACCAGAAAGCCACGGCUAACUACGUGCCAGCAGCCGCGGUAAUACGUAGGUGGCAAGCGUUGUCCGGAAUUAUUGGGCGUAAAGCGCGCGCAGGCGGUCUCUUAAGUCUGAUGUGAAAGCCCACGGCUCAACCGUGGAGGGCCAUUGG
RNAcentral lists this ribosomal RNA (572 nucleotides) under Bacillaceae bacterium GUDS1133. RNAcentral describes it as "bacterial SSU rRNA". It matches the Rfam family "Bacterial small subunit ribosomal RNA", at positions 74 to 629 of the family's 1533-position model. Lineage: Bacteria; Bacillati; Bacillota; Bacilli; Caryophanales; Bacillaceae. The record is from RNAcentral.